CGGCGGACGGGUGAGUAAUGCUUAGGAAUCUGCCUAUUAGUGGGGGACAACGUUCCGAAAGGAACGCUAAUACCGCAUACGUCCUACGGGAGAAAGCAGGGGACCUUCGGGCCUUGCGCUAAUAGAUGAGCCUAAGUCGGAUUAGCUAGUUGGUGGGGUAAAGGCCUACCAAGGCGACGAUCCGUAGCGGGUCUGAGAGGAUGAUCCGCCACACUGGGACUGAGACACGGCCCAGACUCCUACGGGAGGCAGCAGUGGGGAAUAUUGGACAAUGGGGGGAACCCUGAUCCAGCCAUGCCGCGUGUGUGAAGAAGGCCUUUUGGUUGUAAAGCACUUUAAGCGAGGAGGAGGCUACCUACAUUAAUACUUUAGGAUAUUGGACGUUACUCGCAAAAUAACCACCGGCUAACUCUGUGCCAGCACCCGCGGUAAUACAAAGGGUGCGAGCGUUAAUCGGAUUUACUGGGCGUAAAGCGUGCGUAGGCGGCCAAUUAAUUCAAAUGUGAAAUCCCCGAGCUUAACUUGGGAAUUGCAUUCGAUACUGGUUGGCUAGAGUAUGGGAGAGGAUGGUAAAAUUCCAGGUGUAGCGGUGAAAUGCGUAAAGAUCUGGAGGAAUACCGAUGGCGAAGGCAGCCAUCUGGCCUAAUACUGACGCUGAGGUACGAAAGCAUGGGGAGCAAACAGGAUUAGAUACCCUGGUAGUCCAUGCCGUAAACGAUGUCUACUAGCCGUUGGGGCCCUUGAGGCUUUAGUGGCGCAGCUAACGCGAUAAGUAGACCGCCUGGGGAGUACGGUCGCAAGACUAAAACUCAAAUGAAUUGACGGGGGCCCGCACAAGCGGUGGAGCAUGUGGUUUAAUUCGAUGCAACGCGAAGAACCUUACCUGGCCUUGACAUACAGAGAACUUUCCAGAGAUGGAUUGGUGCCUUCGGGAACUCUGAUACAGGUGCUGCAUGGCUGUCGUCAGCUCGUGUCGUGAGAUGUUGGGUUAAGUCCCGCAACGAGCGCAACCCUUUUCCUUAUUUGCCAGCACUUCGGGUGGGAACUUUAAGGAUACUGCCAGUGACAAACUGGAGGAAGGCGGGGACGACGUCAAGUCAUCAUGGCCCUUACGGCCAGGGCUACACACGUGCUACAAUGGUCGGUACAAAGGGUUGCCACACAGCGAUGUGAUGCUAAUCUCAAAAAGCCGAUCGUAGUCCGGAUUGGCAGUCUGCAACUCGACUCGCAGUGAAGUCGGAAUCGCU
This 1247-nucleotide ribosomal RNA is filed under the name Acinetobacter sp. RNAcentral describes it as "bacterial SSU rRNA". It matches the Rfam family "Bacterial small subunit ribosomal RNA", at positions 96 to 1336 of the family's 1533-position model. The record is from RNAcentral. Lineage: Bacteria; Pseudomonadati; Pseudomonadota; Gammaproteobacteria; Moraxellales; Moraxellaceae.